AUGGAGGGACGGAGAAGGUUAGGCCAGCCUGGCGUUGGUUGUCCAGGUUUAAGGUGGUAGGCUGAAAUCUUAGGCAAAUCCGGGAUUUCAAGGCCGAGAGCUGAUGACGAGUUGCCUUCAGGCGACGAAGUGGUUGAUACCAUGCUUCCAAGAAAAGCUCCUAAGCUUCAGAUAACUGGGAACCGUACCCCAAACCGACACAGGUGG
Molecule: ribosomal RNA, 207 nt
Filed under: Pseudomonas asiatica
Lineage: Bacteria; Pseudomonadati; Pseudomonadota; Gammaproteobacteria; Pseudomonadales; Pseudomonadaceae
Description: partial 23S ribosomal RNA
Rfam family: Bacterial large subunit ribosomal RNA
Source: RNAcentral